CUGUAGAUCCCGAAGGGCUCCUCGGGGGCAGCUGCCGGCUGACCUCACCUGCUGGUUCCACCAGUGCGCGCCCACGAAACCGGCAAAAUGUCCCAACUGCAGUAUCUCUCCGCUGGCUGAUAGCUCCCCGGGCAAAAAGAAAACCUUGCCAGAAAAGCGGAAGCUCCCCUAAAGCCUCCCAUGCCCCUUCAUCUCUUCAGAAGUCACGUGGACCACGACUAAUAACCUGUGGACUGGCUUAGCUAUCAUAUCUCUAUCAUUUACACGUAUUUAUCUAUCUCUGUGUAUCUAACACCUUAUGUAAAGAGAGUAUGUA
Molecule: long non-coding RNA, 316 nt
Filed under: Homo sapiens (human)
Lineage: Eukaryota; Metazoa; Chordata; Mammalia; Primates; Hominidae
Description: HSALNT0295962
Source: RNAcentral